ACAGUGGACGCGAGCAUCUGUGGCCAAGUUUUUAAGGGCGCACGGUGGAUGCCUUGGCACCAGGAACCGAUGAAGGACGUGGGAGGCCGCGAUAGUCCCCGGGGAGUCGUCAACCAGGCUUUGAUCCGGGGGUUUCCGAAUGGGGAAACCCGGCAGUCGUCAUGGGCUGUCACCCACUGCUGAACACAUAGGCAGUGUGGAGGGAACGCGGGGAAGUGAAACAUCUCAGUACCCGCAGGAAGAGAAAACAACCGUGAUUCCGGGAGUAGUGGCGAGCGAAACCGGAUGAGGCCAAACCGUAUGCGUGUGAGACCCGGCAGGGGUUGCGCAUGCGGGGUGGUGGGAUCUCUCUUUCACAGUCUGCCGGCUGUGAGACGAGUCAGAAACCGUUGAUGUAGGCGAAGGACAUGCGAAAGGUCCGGCGUAGAGGGUAAGACCCCCGUAGUCGAAACGUCAGCGGCUCGUUUGAGAGACACCCAAGUAGCACGGGGCCCGAGAAAUCCCGUGUGAAUCUGGCGGGACCACCCGCUAAGCCUAAAUAUUCCCUGGUGACCGAUAGCGGAUAGUACCGUGAGGGAAUGGUGAAAAGUACCCCGGGAGGGGAGUGAAAUAGUACCUGAAACCGUGUGCCUACAAGCCGUGGGAGCGUCGGACAUCAGCUUGCUGGUGUCUCGUGACUGCGUGCCUUUUGAAGAAUGAGCCUGCGAGUUUGCGGUGUGUUGCGAGGUUAACCCGGGUGGGGUAGCCGUAGCGAAAGCGAGUCCGAAUAGGGCGAUUCAGUAGCACGCUCAAGACCCGAAGCGGAGUGAUCUAGCCAUGGGCAGGUUGAAGCGGAGGUAAGACUUCGUGGAGGACCGAACCCACCAGGGUUGAAAACCUGGGGGAUGACCUGUGGUUAGGGGUGAAAGGCCAAUCAAACUCCGUGAUAGCUGGUUCUCCCCGAAAUGCAUUUAGGUGCAGCGUCGUGUGUUUCUUGCCGGAGGUAGAGCACUGGAUAGGCGAUGGGCCCUACCGGGUUACUGACCUUAGCCAAACUCCGAAUGCCGGUAAGUGAGAGCGCGGCAGUGAGACUGUGGGGGAUAAGCUCCAUGGUCGAGAGGGAAACAGCCCAGAGCAUCGACUAAGGCCCCUAAGCGUACGCUAAGUGGGAAAGGAUGUGGAGUCGCACAGACAACCAGGAGGUUGGCUUAGAAGCAGCCACCCUUGAAAGAGUGCGUAAUAGCUCACUGGUCUAGUGAUUCCGCGCCGACAAUGUAGCGGGGCUCAAGCGUACCGCCGAAGUCGUGUCAUUGACACAUAUAGCCCCAACGGGUGUGUUGAUGGGUAGGGGAGCGUCGUCUGCCGGGUGAAGCAGCACCGGAAGGUAGUUGUGGACGGUUGACGAGUGAGAAUGCAGGCAUGAGUAGCGAUACAAACGUGAGAAACGUUUGCGCCGAUUGACUAAGGGUUCCUGGGUCAAGCUGAUCUGCCCAGGGUAAGUCGGGACCUAAGGCGAGGCCGACAGGCGUAGUCGAUGGAUAACCGGUUGAUAUUCCGGUACCCGCUGUGAAGCGUCAAACAUCGAAUCCAGUGAUGCUAAGCCCGUGAAGCCGCCCCUGAUCUCUUCGGAGUGAGGGGGAGUGGUGGAGCCGGUGACCCGAGCUGGUAGUAGGUGAGUGAUGGGGUGACGCAGGAAGGUAGUCCAUCCCGGGCGGUGGUUGUCCCGGGGUAAGGGUGUAGGACGCAGGGUAGGCAAAUCCGCCCUGCACAUAGUCUGAGACCUGAUGCCGAGCCGAUUGUGGUGAAGUGGAUGAUCCUAUGCUGUCGAGAAAAGCCUCUAGCGAGUUUCAUGGCGGCCCGUACCCUAAACCGACUCAGGUGGUCAGGUAGAGAAUACCGAGGCGUUCGGGUGAACUAUGGUUAAGGAACUCGGCAAAAUGCCCCCGUAACUUCGGGAGAAGGGGGGCCAUUCCUGGUGACCGGCUUUGCGCCGUGAGCUGGGGGUGGCCGCAGAGACCAGCGAGAAGCGACUGUUUACUAAAAACACAGGUCCGUGCGAAGCCGUAAGGCGAUGUAUACGGACUGACGCCUGCCCGGUGCUGGAACGUUAAGGGGACCGGUUAGUGACCUUUCGGGGUUGCGAAGCUGAGAACUUAAGCGCCAGUAAACGGCGGUGGUAACUAUAACCAUCCUAAGGUAGCGAAAUUCCUUGUCGGGUAAGUUCCGACCUGCACGAAUGGCGUAACGACUUCUCGACUGUCUCAACCAUAGGCCCGGUGAAAUUGCACUACGAGUAAAGAUGCUCGUUUCGCGCAGCAGGACGGAAAGACCCCGGGACCUUUACUACAGUUUGAUAUUGGUGUUCGGUUCGGCUUGUGUAGGAUAGCUGGGAGACUGUGAAGCUCAUACGCCAGUAUGGGUGGAGUCGUCGUUGAAAUACCAGUCUGGUCGUGCUGGAUGUCUAACCUGGGUCCGUGAUCCGGAUCAGGGACAGUGUCUGAUGGGUAGUUUAACUGGGGCGGUUGCCUCCCAAAGGGUAACGGAGGCGCCCAAAGGUUCCCUCAGCCUGGUUGGCAAUCAGGUGUUGAGUGUAAGUGCACAAGGGAGCUUGACUGUGAGACCGACGGGUCGAGCAGGGACGAAAGUCGGGACUAGUGAUCCGGCGGUGGCUUGUGGAAGCGCCGUCGCUCAACGGAUAAAAGGUACCCCGGGGAUAACAGGCUGAUCUUCCCCAAGAGUCCAUAUCGACGGGAUGGUUUGGCACCUCGAUGUCGGCUCGUCGCAUCCUGGGGCUGGAGUCGGUCCCAAGGGUUGGGCUGUUCGCCCAUUAAAGCGGUACGCGAGCUGGGUUUAGAACGUCGUGAGACAGUUCGGUCCCUAUCCGCUGUGCGCGUAGGAGUCUUGAGAAGGGCUGUCCCUAGUACGAGAGGACCGGGACGGACGAACCUCUGGUGUGCCAGUUGUUCUGCCAAGGGCAUGGCUGGUUGGCUACGUUCGGGAGGGAUAACCGCUGAAAGCAUCUAAGCGGGAAGCCUGCUUCGAGAUGAGGACUCCCACCCACUUGAUGGGGUAAGGCUCCCAGUAGACGACUGGGUUGAUAGGCCGGAUCUGGAAGCACCGCAAGGUGUGGAGGUGACCGGUACUAAUAGGCCGAGGGCUUGUCCUCAGUUG
This 3150-nucleotide ribosomal RNA is filed under the name Streptomyces actuosus. RNAcentral describes it as "bacterial LSU rRNA". It matches the Rfam family "Bacterial large subunit ribosomal RNA". Lineage: Bacteria; Bacillati; Actinomycetota; Actinomycetes; Kitasatosporales; Streptomycetaceae. The record is from RNAcentral.